GUCUCAGUAUCAAGGAGCACCUAAGCACAAUGUGCAGGCUUUUUAAAGAGAGUCAAAUAAUCACUCUUCAUCAUGAGUUUUCUGGAAAAGAAAAUAAAGACGCGAGAAGGAGUUAUAAAUCACCAUACAGGAUCCUGUUGGGGAAGCCCUUCCUGCAGAUCCUGAUGCCCUCCAGUACACCGUUACAGCGCAGCUGGUGCAUUACCAGAGGAUUCUCCAUGGCUCCUGGAGUCUUUGUCUCAUUGGGGAUGAUGCAGCGCACAAAAUGAGGAUGAGUUGAUCUCAGGCUGUGAUACCGUCAAGCUAUGACCCUCAGGGUGCUGCAAUAAAG
This is a long non-coding RNA of Silurus meridionalis, 331 nucleotides long. RefSeq lists it as uncharacterized. The record is from RefSeq and is a predicted model, not a curated record. Lineage: Eukaryota; Metazoa; Chordata; Actinopteri; Siluriformes; Siluridae. The transcript is spliced from 3 exons.